GCCCUUAUAGUGUAAUGGAUUAGCACACGAUCGUUCUAAGGUCGGUAGUCCGGGUUCGAGUCCUGGUAGGGGUACCA
RNAcentral lists this transfer RNA (77 nucleotides) under Klebsiella phage vB_KaeM_Merci. Its description in RNAcentral is "tRNA-Arg". It matches the Rfam family "tRNA". Rfam says of the family: Transfer RNA (tRNA) molecules are approximately 80 nucleotides in length. Their secondary structure includes four short double-helical elements and three loops (D, anti-codon, and T loops). Further hydrogen bonds mediate the characteristic L-shaped molecular structure. tRNAs have two regions of fundamental functional importance: the anti-codon, which is responsible for specific mRNA codon recognition, and the 3' end, to which the tRNAs corresponding amino acid is attached (by aminoacyl-tRNA synthetases). tRNAs cope with the degeneracy of the genetic code in two manners: having more than one tRNA (with a specific anti-codon) for a particular amino acid; and 'wobble' base-pairing, i.e. permitting non-standard base-pairing at the 3rd anti-codon position. The record is from RNAcentral. Lineage: Duplodnaviria; Heunggongvirae; Uroviricota; Caudoviricetes; Pantevenvirales; Straboviridae. RNAcentral also lists the same sequence under 4 other names.